Molecule: ribosomal RNA, 253 nt
Filed under: uncultured bacterium
Lineage: Bacteria
Description: partial 16S ribosomal RNA
Rfam family: Bacterial small subunit ribosomal RNA
Source: RNAcentral
UACAGAGGUGGCAAGCGUUGUUCGGAAUUACUGGGCGUAAAGCGCGUGUAGGCGGCCAUCUAAGUCGGGCGUGAAAUCCCACGGCUCAACCGUGGAAGUGCACUCGAAACUGGAUGGCUAGAGUCCUGGAGAGGAAGGUGGAAUGCUUGGUGUAGAGGUGAAAUUCGUAGAUAUCAAGCGGAACACCGGUGGCGAAGGCGGCCUUCUGGACAGUGACUGACGCUGAGACGCGAAAGCGUGGGGAGCAAACAGG